RNA transcript from Propithecus coquereli (Coquerel's sifaka), 1061 nucleotides. It is a transcript of the gene named phosphopantothenate--cysteine ligase-like, with no coding region annotated. The transcript has 2 exons. The record is from RefSeq and is a predicted model, not a curated record. Lineage: Eukaryota; Metazoa; Chordata; Mammalia; Primates; Indriidae.
GAGGCCCACCCAGCCGAGAAGUCCCCAUAGCUCAGCGUCAUCUUCGCUGAGCUCUGGGACGGAACUACCACGCACUUCCAGACCCAGCAAAAACCAGACCUAGUGCCAAAACUAAGGCAGUGACCCGCCCACUCACCACUGCAGCGCGUGGACCAGGCUCUACUGCAAUGUUUUACCUGGCUGCAGCCGUGUCAGAUUUCUAUGUUCCUGUUUCUGAAAUGCCUGAACACAAGAUCCAGUCAUCUGGGGGCCUACUGCAGAUAACAAUGAAGAUGGUGCCAAAAAUGCUUUCUCCUUUGGUUAAAGAUUGGGCUCCCAAAGCAUUUAUAAUUUCCUUUAAGUUGGAGACUGACCCCUCCUCGUAAUUAAUCAUGCUCGGAACGCUUUGGAAAUUUAUCAACAUCAAGUGGUGGUGGCUAAUAUCCUUGAGUCACGACAGUCCUUUGUGGUUAUUGUAACCAAAGACUCAGAAACCAAGUUAUUGUUAUCAGAGGAAGAAGUAGGAAAAGGCAUAGAGAUAGAAGAGAAGAUAAUGGAUAAUCUUCAAUCUCAACACACAGCCUUUAUAUGUGAAAAAAACUGAAGUAAAAGCCCUUAUAGGGUCAAAUAUUAUUCAGGGGUCUUACAGCUGGUGAGAACUAUAAUAAAUCCUUCGCUUUCUUUCAUAAGGACAGAGAAAAUGAAGGAAAGGAAAAAAGUGAUGUGUAGGCAAAUAUAGUUUGGUAUUUUGUCUUUUAAUGACCAAACCACCUGACACACUUUGACCUGAAUGUCAUUUUGAUUUUGAAAUUGAACACUAGAGCUGUUUCUCACCUUUAACAAAAGAGCUUAUUGGGAAUUAUAUAUUCCUCAAAGUCUACAUGGGGGCCUGAAUAUCAGCCUUCAUACUACAAAAGGAGGAUUAUGGAUGCAUGAGUGAUCAUGCUUUGAAGAUCAAAUAUUUGUUGAGUGCCUACUAUGUGCCAGGUCCUAUGCUGAGCUAUGAGGAUUAAAACAAUGAAUAAACAUGUCUUGUUUGGGAAAUGGAUGUAUAAAAAAAUACAAUAAAGUGUGUGCCAAAA